CCGUAGCUCAGUUGGAUAGAGCAACGGCCUUCUAAGCCGUGGGUCGGGGGUUCGAAUCCCUCCGGGC
This 67-nucleotide transfer RNA is filed under the name bovine gut metagenome. It matches the Rfam family "tRNA", at positions 5 to 66 of the family's 71-position model. Rfam says of the family: Transfer RNA (tRNA) molecules are approximately 80 nucleotides in length. The record is from RNAcentral.